GAAGUGCGAAAGCUGAUACGAGAGCCUUGCGAGGUUUUGAUCGACAUUCGGGGUGAAGAAUGUUUGUCGAGGCUUCGCGGCGGUUGUCACGGGCUCGAUGGGGAGUUCCGGGUCGUGACAAGAUCAAUCAAGUUUAAAAGCAUUUUUCAUUCCUUCUCAAAGCAGAUUAAGAUCAAUCAAUUUUGUCAUUUGAAAAUCAGAGUAAAGCUAACACUUUUGUUUUCCAAGGAGGUUAGGCUUUUUCCUUGUUAUGGUGGCUUAAAAAUAUCUUUAUUGAUUUUAGUUAAAGGUUUCUCUUCCUAUUUUUGUGUGUAUUCUAGCUGGUAAAAAAGUAGGAUUAGGGUUUCUACAAUUUUUUUCUUUUCUAAUGUUUUUGUUUUUUUAGUUUUUGUUUUUCUUGGAGCUUCCUCCUCUUGCUUUUUGGGGAUUGUGGGUUUUUCUGCCCAUGAUCAGCUAAGUGGGGUCGGGUGAUUGUACCUUGGUGACACCCGACUAGGCACAAGAAUAUUGCGCUUGGCAAGGUCAUCCUCACAUACUGUCAAUGUGCACGAGUGUGGCAGAGUUGGGCAUGGCUUUAUCAGCAAUCUCAGUUGGCCAUUGUUCAUUUGUUUUUUUUUCCUUUUUAUUUUUUCUAGAAUGAGUUUUGCUUUAAUCUUGUUCAAAUUCUAUUUUAGUCUUGUUUUAUUUUGGUUGUGCUUUCAUGUUUUUUAAUCUUAAUCACUUUUAAUAAAUAUGUUUUAAG
RNAcentral lists this long non-coding RNA (742 nucleotides) under Theobroma cacao (cacao). Its description in RNAcentral is "long non-coding RNA (TCAC_LNC004857)". The record is from RNAcentral. Lineage: Eukaryota; Viridiplantae; Streptophyta; Magnoliopsida; Malvales; Malvaceae.